CAAUAGCGUAUAUUAAAGUUGUUGCAGUUAAAAAGCUCGUAGUUGGAUUUUGAGUUUGGUAAAAUCGGUCUGCUUUCCGCAGUACUGACUUGCCUGCUCUUCUUCUCGAGGCCUAUGAGUGUACUUAACCGUGCGUUCAUAGUGUUCGGGACUUUUACCGUGAGAAAAUUAGAGUGUUCAUAGCAGGCUUUUGCUUGAAUAUUGCAGCAUGGAAUAAUGGAAUAGGAUCAUGAUCUUAUUUUGUUGGUUUCUAAGAUCAAGAUAAUGAUUAAUAGGGAUAGUUGGGGGCAUUAAUAUUUAGUUGUCAGAGGUGAAAUUCUUAGAUUUACAAAAGAUUAACUUCUGCGAAAGCAUUUGCCAAGGAUGUUUUCGUUAA
Molecule: ribosomal RNA, 376 nt
Filed under: uncultured eukaryote
Lineage: Eukaryota
Description: partial 18S ribosomal RNA
Rfam family: Eukaryotic small subunit ribosomal RNA
Source: RNAcentral